This 119-nucleotide ribosomal RNA is filed under the name Helianthus annuus (common sunflower). Lineage: Eukaryota; Viridiplantae; Streptophyta; Magnoliopsida; Asterales; Asteraceae. The record is from RNAcentral.
GGUUGCCAUCAUACCAGCACCAAUGCACCGUAUCCCAUCAGAACUCCGCAGUUAAGCGUGCUUGGGCGAGUGUAGUACUAGGAUGGCUGACCCACUGGGAAGUCCUCGUGUUGCAACCC